UGCUUAAUGAUGACUGAACCACACAGGCAACUCUGUCCUUCAAGCUGGCUAUUACUCCCUUGGGGCCUCUCUGCCCUGGGCAGUCACCCCAGGGUGUGCAAGGCUGACUCUUCCAAGGGGUGCUCAGCAUCCCCCUUCUUUAACCAGACCCUCUAUCAUUUACUGGAUUGAAAACUAUACACAUUUAUUCCACUUAUCUGUUUACUUAUAGAGUAUCUACCUAGAAUAUUAGGUCCAUUGUGAAAAAGGGGUUUGAAAGAAGGGAGCUAUGAAACUAGUUUCGAAUUAAGAAGCUCUAUCCUUUAUGUGUUUUAACUUCUAGAACAAAUCCAAAGCUUCAGUAUUUUACACUGUUAUUCUUAAUGUGUGGUAUAAAAUAAUAUCACAAAACCCAUUUAAAAAUACUAACGAGAAGUAAAAAUGCAUGGAAUUUACAGACAUUUUAUGCAUGUAUUUAUUCAUGCCAUAUAGGCGUACCAAAUCCCUGUUAUUUUCUGGUCCCAGAAUCCAGCCACUCCCUUCUUACUUCUGUGAGAUGUGACUAGACUCCCCCUGACCAACUUCAGCCAGGCUCCCCUAGCCUUCUUCUCCACAAGCCCUUGACUUUGGGCUUCUGUAAUUAUUCUUGCAGAGUCCAAAGCUUGCAAGAAUCCUGCUUCUACAUCAGUUUCAAGAAAACCCACCUCCCAUCCUUGAUAUCUAAUCAACCUUGAUAUUGGAUCAAAUUUCUGACACCCACCCGCCAACCCCACAAUCCUCAGGUGAGAGCCGAUCACCCCUGCCUGCCUUCGACAAGAAUCCUAUUAGGUAGGUCAUCUAAAUUUCCCUCAUUUUUGCCUCCGAGUAACUGUCUAUCCAUCAACACCCCACCCCCCGCGUGCUCCUUGGCUACAAAUCCCCACUGUUCCUGUUCUAUUUGGAGCUGGGCCUGAUUUGUUGCCCCUACUGCGAUAGUUUGACACCUAUCUCAACAGUCCUGAAUAAAGAGGGCCUUACUGUCUUAACAAGUGUCCACAGAUUUUUCCUUUAACAGAUGAUAAAGUUACACGUAAAAACCCUGAUAUAUAAAGAUCUCUUUUAAAAACAUAAUCCUUUUUAGUGUUUCAGUGAACUGAUAAUAUGCGCUUUUUAACAUUGCACAUACAGUUAUACUGAAGAUCGAUUCUUUGAAAAUCUGCGUCAGGAAAAUUUAGACCAAAAGAAGUCAACACAUUCCACUUGGCUCAGAGGUGGAGGAGCUAGAGUGCUUUUUCUCCCCUUUGUGUCUUUGUGCCUCUGUGUUUUCACGAUUCUAGAAUUCCUGGCAUGAAAAGCCAAUCACCAUGUGUAUUCUUUGGGCCCGGGUAUGCUGCAAAACACUAAGUUGAAAACACUUUUCUUUUGAAUGAAUGUGGCCUAGCUAAUGGUCCUGUGUGGACAUGAGUGUUAUGUCCAGGAAGGAAGUGGUACCUCUGACCCAGAACAAUAGGUUGGCUAAGAGCCACUGAGCCCUUUCUUGGAGAUAGAGCUCUGCUUUCCUAAAUUUUUAUAGGUAAAGGCCUCAUGGAUAGAUAUAAUGAGGGUCCUGACAGUUGCUUCUAUUUUUAAAAAAAAUCUAACAAACAUCAAAAAUUUUUAUAUUUUAAUAUUUAUUCAUAUUUUGUUUUAUUUUUUUCCUAAAGCAAGCACUAUUUUCCAAAUAAAGUUUUGAUAUAGUUGCUAAAAAAGACUGCCCAACACCAGAUUAAAAAAAAAAAAAACUGUAUUGUUUCUCCUCCAUUCUCAAUGGGUCAUGUGGGUAAUAAGCCAGAAAGUAGCUAUUUUCCCUAAAAAAGGAGAGAGUCGGUCCACCUUCACCUAAUACUGAAGGGAUUCCUGGAUCUAGAAAUCACUGUUCCUUGCCAUGUGUACAUGAAUUUCCUACAGUUUAACUUUUAAAACAACAAUACAUCAAAGUGUCUCCUUAUGAUCACCUUCAUCCCGUCAUCUUAAAAUUCUGCAUAUACAUGAAACAAUAUUUUCCUUUUUUGUAUAGAAAACCUACACUGAUCUCAUGGUGUCCACAGUUGAAUACACAGCUCUGAAUAUCUAGCCAUGAUGCUUGAAUCACUAAGGCUUUAAUAAAAAUAGUGAGUCCUGGUAGAUAAAUUCGCAGAACAUUUUAACAGUGUGAUUUCUUUUGUGUCAUUAGUUGUAAAAUCGCCUCCAAGUGUUAUUAAAUGUUUUAGAAAGUUGCAAAAUGCUCUAGGUUUAAUGACUUAGGCAAAAAUCAAGAUCCACUUUCAUAGUAACCUAUCUUGCCAUCAUUUUUCAUAAGCACUUACUGAAUCUACUUAAUUUUAACUCACUGGAAAAGGAUCAGCAGAGUUUCUGUCUGUCUCUUCUGUCUCACAGCAUUUUUCCAGACCAUGUGUUUUAGAGCAACCUGUAGGAGGCUAAAGCCCUCACAAUCAUUUUUCAGUUGUGUUAACAAUUUGUAUGGUGCAUCCUGAAUGAUUUCCUCCUAGUGGAACUGUUACAAGUUAACCUGAAAAAUACCCAAGUUGUAGUUUCUGUCCUUUAAAAAAUAAUACAGUGUACACUGUCUUCUGUGCUGCAGAAAGCCGUCCUUCUGCCAUAUUCUAAUCGGUUCAUCUUCUUGAAAGUGAGCUGUCUACUUCCCCACAGAGCUUUCCUUGAUACACACAUUUCAGCAGGAAACAGCUACUCUCUCGGGGCAGAUCAUCGUGUCUUCAAAAACUAGGAAAGAAUGAGAAGUGCGAGGCAGUUUGGGACCAUUCACUGUGCAGACACCUACAAAUGUUUGCAAAAAGGAGCUCAGUUGGAGUUCUCCCUAUGGAAGCGCAUAGAACAUAGGGCAGCCUAAAUCAUGAUGGCGUGUGGAAGAUAAAGACAUUUCACCUCAUGAACAAACCCUAAUUUUUAAUUAGUGCACCUAAGAGUGAUGAGUAGCCAUCAACAAAGGGCCCGUCGGAGUUGUGGUUCUUCGUUCAUUCUGCGCUUUGCUAAAGCUUGUGUAUAUUGAAGGAAAGGAGAGCAAUAUAUUAAAAAAACAAACGAAACACAAAAAACACUUUUUCAAACUUUUAAAAAAUGAAGUGGUACUAUUUCUUCCCAACAUCCAAGGGCCUUCAACACAGAAAAUACACAGCUAACUUUCCAAGCUUAAGGAAAAAUUUAAAUAAUGUGAGCUAUUUUGCUAUUCCCUUUCUCAGAACUUAGAUCUUAUUUUUUUGUCUUUGUGUGGGAGAGCUUCUUUGGUGGGAAUCUGGCUUUUUAUCACUUUGUAUGAAUUUGCUCUUGCAUUUCAAUUCUUGUAACUCUUAAUUGUGACUUUGUUUGCCAUUUGCUUUAAUCCCUAUUUAACCCAGGAAAAAGCCCGAGAGAAAACCUCCUGUUAUGCAAGUCCUAGAACUUAAACUAACUUAAUAAGAUAUUUGUCUUAAGGACUGGUUUUCAAGGUUGAAGAGGCAGUCUUUCCUUUGCUUGCUUACACGAUUUGCAAUGCUUGGGUUUAAUUAAGUGACAGAAUAAAUUGACCACGGCCAUCAGGAAGUGUUUUGAUCCAGAUUAUUGGAAUGGAAAUUUUACUUUGCUUUCCCAGUAAGUUAGAAGCCAGAAUCUUUCACCAUUAGAUCUGACAACAGGAAUUUACUCCCUGUCCCCUGAUAGAGCUUGUAAGGAGCAACAGGCCAGGGUGUAUGCGACCAGAGGUUAUAACAUUCUGAUUCAUUAUGCCGUAGUCAUGAAUCUGCCCUGUUAGAGACAAGCUCCAUCCAUCCAUUUAGCUGUCAUUCCGACCAUGAAUGUAAUGCUAUUAUUGUGAGGGCCAAGUCCACUGCUCAUGCCAGAUGUUGUUAGGAAUUCAAUCCAUCCUACAUAUGAACACUGGCUCCUUCAAACAACAAGAUGUUGAGUGAAUUACAUAUCAAGUUGUGAGUUUUCUUGGCAUUUAAUUAUCCAGCUCAAAGAAACAUACUCCCUAAUUGUUCUUGAGGUUACUGCUCAGCACAUAAGAAAAAGGGAUUUUGUGAAGGAAUGGUAUGAUAUUGGCAGCUGUGAAAACAUUGCCAGUUAUUGUAACGUCUCUUUUUUGGUUGCUUUUAUUUAUUUGUUUUGCUUAUUCCUAAUUCCUGUAUGUCAGGAGAAAUUAGCCAUCUUUCAGAUGUGAUACCACUGUUGGAUAACAUUUUAGGGAGAAAGGUCACUCAUGAAUUAUAUGACAAUCCUUGCACACAUAUUAAUAAUAUAUAUUACAACAUGACUGCAAAGAUAGAAGGUAACUUUUUUUAAUUUGAGUAAUCACAGCUAGAAGUGGUUCUCCUGGCUCAUGGUCUAUCUCAGAACGUACCAGGAAUUAAUUUUUCCCUCUCAAAAGUUAUCGGUGAAGAAAGGACUGCAUGGUUACUGUUUUUCUAUUGUUCAGAUGUUUCUCACUUUCAUAUAGGAAAUGGGCAGCUGGAAGGACUACAUGCUUUUAUGACUUGACCUGUUCUAGCUGAUCUUCGGGAACAAUUCAGCUUCCUGAGCUAAGGAUAAUGAGUUCCUCCAGUCUGUUCCUAGGUUUCCUCUUCAGCUCGACUGACAGCUCCACACUCCGUCCACUUGAGGUGCCAGUUUCUCAGCAUCCUGUGCUGACCUCUUCCCCCUCCUUAGACACUACAUGUCUCAGCUGCUGCUGACAUGUCCCCUUUGGAUGCCUCCCUCCUGUGUCUCUUGCCACUGACGUCCCAACAUCUCACAUCUCAAGUUUUCACAAGGUUUUUCCUUCCUUUUUUUAUUGAAAUAUAAUUGACACACAGUAUUGUAUGAGUUUUAGGUUUACGAUAUAAUGACUUGAUAUUUGUAUACACUGCAUAUGUUGUGACAUCAUCACAAUUAAGUCUAUCAGCACACAGAAUUUUUUUCUCAUGAUAAUAACUUUUAAGGUCUAUUUUCGUAGCAUCUUUCAAAUACAUAACACCGUAUUAGUAACUCUAAUCACCGAUCUACACAUCACAGCCUGCGCACCUAUUUAUCUUACAUUAGACUUUGUACCUUUUGACCACUUCACCCAUUUUGCCCACUUCCCACCCCUUGCUUCUGGCAACUACCAACCUGUUCUCUGUAUCUAUGAGUUUUGCUUUUUUUAAGAUCCCACAUAUAAGUGAGAUCCUAUAGCGUGUAUCUUCUCUGUCUGACUUAUUUCUCUUACCAUAAUGUCCUCAAGGUCCAUCCAUGUGGUGGCAGAAGGCAGGAUUUCCUCCUUUUUUAAUGGCUCAACAAUAGUCCAUGGUAUAUUAUUUUUAUAUAAUAAUAAUUAUCAUCAUUAUUUUAUCAAAUAUGUCAUAACUUCUUUAUCCAUUCAUCCAUGAAUGAAUAUUCAGGUUGUUUUCAUAUCUUGGCUUCUGUAAAUAAUGCUGCAAUGAACAGGGUUGUGGAUAUCUUUUUGAGAGAGUCAUUUCAUUUCCUUUAAAUAAAUAGCCAGAAGUGGAAUUGCUGGAUCAUAUGAUAGUUCUAGUUUUAAUUUUUUUGAGGAACCUCCAUACUGUUUUCCACGGUGAUUGCACCAAUUUACCUUCCCACCAACAGUGCACAAGGGUUCCCUUUUCUCUACAUCCUUUCCAACACUUGCUAGUUUUUAUAUUUUUUAUAAUAACCAUUCUAACAAGUGAGAGGUGAUAUCUCAUGAUGGUUUUAAUUUGCAUUUCCCUGAUAUUCAAUAAUGUUGAGUACAUUUUCAUUUAACUAUUGGUAUUUCUUCUUUGGAAAAAUGUCUAUUCAGUUCCUCUGGUCAUUUUUUUUGAUGAAAUUGUUUAUUUUCUAUUGAGUUGUAAGAGUUCUUUUUUAUAUCUUGGAUAUUAGCCCUUUAUCAGCUACAUGAUUUCCAGAUAUUUUCCCCAGUCUAUAGGUUUCUUUUUUUCAUUUUGUAGAUGAUUUCAAAACAUUUUAAAAAAAUAAACCUGUAGCUCUUUUUAGAAAGGAUUACAAAACCCCAAAAUUGUAACUAAUUCAUAGGAGCUUGCUUGAGUCAUCCACGUAACAAUUAACGAACAUUCCAGUUCAUUUAAAAAAUGAUACCAUCUAGGAAUACCUGUUGUGGCUCAGUGGAAACAAACCCAACUAGUAUCCAUGAGGGUGCAGGCAUGAUUCCUGGCCCCGAUCAGUGGGUUAAGGAUCCAGCAUUGUGGCUCCAAGGCAUUGCUGUGGCUGUAGUGUAGCCUGGCAGCUGUAGCUCCGAUUUGAUCCCUAGCCUGGGAACUUCCAUAUGUGGU
RNAcentral lists this long non-coding RNA (6233 nucleotides) under Sus scrofa (pig). RNAcentral's name for it is "lncRNA (ENSSSCG00000056960.1)". Lineage: Eukaryota; Metazoa; Chordata; Mammalia; Artiodactyla; Suidae. The record is from RNAcentral.